Molecule: long non-coding RNA, 1663 nt
Filed under: Homo sapiens (human)
Lineage: Eukaryota; Metazoa; Chordata; Mammalia; Primates; Hominidae
Description: non-protein coding lnc-NUDCD2-10:1
Source: RNAcentral
GACCAAGUGGACUGCCACUGCACUCCCAAAGGUAUGAGCCACUGCGCUCGGUCAGAUUCAGUGAAUCACAUCUUAAGCAAACAUUAUGAAUGCUGGUUCAAAACUGUAUCAAGUAGAAUUAUUUUUUGCAGUGUAUAGUAAUUCAUCUAUCAAUCUAUAAAUUUCAGGCAAUAAGUCAUGAUAAGGAAAGCUGAAAGUAAAUCCAAAGGUAGUAGCCAGGCUAAUCAGUAUUUUUAAAUGAAAAAAAAAAUCAGCAAGCUUUUUAUUAGAGAAGAUGAAAACUUGAGAAUAGUAACUGGAGUAGCCACUUUUGAAGGGCAGAAAGAAAAAUGGAAAAUUUAUUUAUUAACCUAGUGUAUGUAUUAUAAUUUAACUUAAUUUAAAUGCAUACAUAUUCACACACAUAACUUGUUUCUGUCAAAGAUAUGUUUGUAUUUCCUUGAGCUGAGUUAUAUUUUAUCACCUUACUAACUGCAUGUAUUGUUUCCCCAUUUCUACAAGUACAUACAGAGAGUUUUAAGGUCUCCUAAUUGCAUAGUGCAAAUAGUAAAUACAUUGCAGAAACAGAAACCACAUAUGAAUAGAACUUAAUGUUUAUACUGGAUUUGAUAUGUGUAAAGAAGAGAGAAAACAUUAAUUAAAAAUUGCAUAUUUAAACAUUAUUGUUGUAAGAAUAAACAAGUUGGAGGAGUAAGUAAAAGUUAACCAGUUAAAAAUUUUCAAAAGACUAUCUUGGGAACAUAUGAGAUUGCUGGAUAGAAAACUAAAGUUAGAUUAGAUUCAAAGAAUGACUUUGAGUUGGAAAUCAGAGUAAAAGUACCGUUUGUUUUAUUGUUGCAUAAACCUUGACUUAUUAUUAUGUCUUUUCCCUAUGCCCCACCUACAUCCCAACUUAACUCAUACCCUCAAUAAUAAUUUAAACCUUUUGCUUUUCUCAGUAGAAAUACAGCCACUCUACUGCUUGUUUUGAGAUACACUUGCCUGGUUAAGGCUUGAAAAUAAAUUAUAAGUCGUUUAUAGCUCUAAUAUUUUCUUUAAAAAUUACUCCUCUGGCUUUGCAUUCAAAUACAUAGCCCUGCAGAAUCCAACAGCCAAAGAAUACACAUUCUCAACUGUCCAUGAAAUAUUCUCCAGGAUAGAUCACUUGCUAGGCCAUAAAAUAAGUCUUAACAAAUAUAAGAAGAUCGAAAUCAUAUGAAGUGUCUUUCCUAAUCACAAUGGUAUAAAACUAGAAAUCAAUAAUAGGAGAACAUUGAAAACUUUUUAAUGAACAAAUAAUGAUAGAAACAUUGAAUCAGUAAUAAAAAGUCUCCCAUCAAAGAACGCCAAAAACCUGAUGAAUUUACUGCUGAAUUAUACUAAACAUUUAAAGAACUAAUGCUAAAUAUUUUUGAACUAUUCCAAAAAAAUUGAAGAGCAGGGAACACUGUCAAAUUCCUCCUAUAGGCCCAGCAUUACCCUGAUACCAAAACCAGACAAAAGCACACAAAACAACAAGAAAACUACAGAUCAAUAUCUCUGAUGAACAAAGAUGUAAAAAUCUUCAACCAAAUACUAGCAUACCAAAUUCAAUAGCAUAUUAAAAAUAUCAUUCACCAUAAUCACGUGGGAUUCAUCCCAAGGAUGAAAGGAUGUCUCAAUAUAUGCAAAUCAAUAAAUAUGA